AAGACUAUACUUUCAGGGAUCAUUUCUAUAGUUUGUUACAAGAUGCACAUGUAUCAGAAAUAUUUGCCAGGUAUAGCACGUAUACAUGC
This is a small nucleolar RNA of 89 nucleotides. Its record names the gene U3. It matches the Rfam family "Small nucleolar RNA U3". From Rfam's summary of the family: Small nucleolar RNAs (snoRNAs) are involved in the processing and modification of rRNA in the nucleolus. There are two main classes of snoRNAs: the box C/D class, and the box H/ACA class. U3 snoRNA is a member of the box C/D class. The record is from Ensembl.